AUCUACGGCCAUACCACCCUGAACACACCCUAUUUCAUCUGAUCUCGGAAGCUAAGCAGGCUCGGGACUGAUUAGUUCUUGGAUGGGAGAAGGAAAAGUAUUUCCCGGGCAUU
This is a ribosomal RNA of Mesocricetus auratus (golden hamster), 113 nucleotides long. NCBI's taxonomy places the organism in Eukaryota, Metazoa, Chordata, Mammalia, Rodentia, Cricetidae. The record is from Ensembl.